UAUGUCUAGGAUUAUUGGCGAAAAACCACCUACUUACAAAACAUGGCAAAAAUCACCGCACCGAGAAAUUGACAGUCGUAGAAAACACUAACACGGUGUUCGGAUGUCUGAAUUAGACCCUUCAAAUUGGAUAUGGUAUUGACUACCUGCCAAUUCAGAUGUACCGAAUCGAGCAAACAGAAACGGGCCAGAUACAGAGACGAAUUAGCCUCCACGCGCGCAGCCCUCCCGCGAUACGGAGUCCGAGCCUCCGAUUUGGGUUGAAUUGGCCAAGUCCUGCAAAACAUAACAUUUCGAGACAAGUCUCGCUCGCGACUUGCCUUUCCUCCGCGCGAGACGCAAGCCCCAGCCGGCGGCGACGCAGGUGUUGCUGAUAAGGGGAAGAACAUGGUUAUGUGACUAUUGUAGAUUGUGUGCUAGUCGUAUAGAUUGAAUAUAAUGCAUGGUUAUGUGA
Molecule: long non-coding RNA, 454 nt
Organism: Triticum aestivum (bread wheat)
Lineage: Eukaryota; Viridiplantae; Streptophyta; Magnoliopsida; Poales; Poaceae
Exons: 2
Source: RefSeq, a predicted model, not a curated record